ACCCAGGAGGCUCAGUGGUAAAGAAUGUGUCUCCAACACAGAAGACCCAGGUUCGAUCCCUGGCCUGCGAA
RNAcentral lists this transfer RNA (71 nucleotides) under Ovis aries (sheep). It matches the Rfam family "tRNA". From Rfam's summary of the family: Transfer RNA (tRNA) molecules are approximately 80 nucleotides in length. Their secondary structure includes four short double-helical elements and three loops (D, anti-codon, and T loops). The record is from Rfam by way of RNAcentral. Lineage: Eukaryota; Metazoa; Chordata; Mammalia; Artiodactyla; Bovidae.